Molecule: ribosomal RNA, 567 nt
Filed under: uncultured bacterium
Lineage: Bacteria
Description: partial 16S ribosomal RNA
Rfam family: Bacterial small subunit ribosomal RNA
Source: RNAcentral
UGGGGGAAUAUUGCACAAUGGGCGAAAGCCUGAUGCAGCAACGCCGCGUGAGUGAUGAAGGCCUUCGGGUUGUAAAGCUCUGUCUUUUGGGACGAUAAUGACGGUACCAAAGGAGGAAGCCACGGCUAACUACGUGCCAGCAGCCGCGGUAAUACGUAGGUGGCAAGCGUUGUCCGGAUUUACUGGGCGUAAAGGAUGCGUAGGCGGAUUUUUAAGUGAGAUGUGAAAUACCCGGGCUUAACUUGGGUGCUGCAUUUCAAACUGGGAAUCUAGAGUGCGGGAGAGGAGAAUGGAAUUCCUAGUGUAGCGGUGAAAUGCGUAGAGAUUAGGAAGAACACCAGUGGCGAAGGCGAUUCUCUGGACCGUAACUGACGCUGAGGCAUGAAAAGCGUGGGGUAGCAAACAGGAUUAGAUACCCUGGUAGUCCACGCCGUAAACGAUGAGUACUAGGUGUAGGAGGUAUCGACCCCUUCUGUGCCGCAGUUAACACAAUAAGUACUCCGCCUGGGAAGUACGAUCGCAAGAUUAAAACUCAAAUGAAUUGACGGGGGUCAUAGCUGUUUUCCU